Molecule: long non-coding RNA, 2078 nt
Filed under: Aquilegia coerulea
Lineage: Eukaryota; Viridiplantae; Streptophyta; Magnoliopsida; Ranunculales; Ranunculaceae
Description: long non-coding RNA (ACOE_LNC001295)
Source: RNAcentral
CAAAUCCUUCUCAUUAAGGUAACUUAUUUGCUCAAUAAAACCCUUUUUCAUCAUCCAUUUGUUAUUAAUCUAAUUUGUUCUCAAUGAAUUUAGAUAAAAUUCAAUCAAAUUAAGCACUAAUUCAUCAUUCUCUUCUCUUCUCUCCAAGUUUCGAAUUUUUAUCAAAUUUCGAAUUGUUCUUUAAAUUUCUCAUCACAGUUCAAUUUUUUUAUCUUCUACCCCUUAAGGUUUUGUAUGUUCGUCAGCAAAUUAUAAUUGAGAAUCCUAACAAAUUAUAAGUGUUUGUGAAAGUCCGUUUUGAUUGGGUAUAAUUGUUCACAAACUACUUAGUUUGUUUAAUUUUAAAUGAUAUCUAGAUCAUUUUAAAUUAACACUCACUAAGGAACAUGAUCUGUUCUUAGCUUUAUUUUCUGUUAAAUUGUUUUAGUUUUUGCUAUAAUUGUCGGUUGAGGUUAAGUUCAAUUGUUGGUUUCCAAUGAUCGCAGAUUGACAGUUUGAAAGGGUAUUUGGUGUGUGUGAGCGACCACAGAUACCAGGUCAAUUUUUUAAUUACUUCCCUAAACAUGUCAAUCUUGCAUCUUCCAUUAGGAUAUGCAAGUUGAUUGAUGUAUUUAUUUUUCAGCUUAAAUAUAUAUCCUCUGUGUAAUUACUUUAUCUCCUAAAUUGGACGUGUCACUGGUUUUAAGUACAGUUGUCUGAGGCUUUUAAGCAUUGGUCCACAGACUAUUUAAAAACAAGCAUUCAGUUUAAUAUGUCUGUCAACAAAUUAGUGUUAUAAUAUGGUCCUGAAUAUGAUACCAGUUGAAUAGUUGUGUUAACAUAGGUUGUAUCAUGUCAAUAUGACCCAUGAAUAAUAAUAACUUCCAUUAUCGGUGGUUUAUAAUUUUAAGAAAACCGACAAAGCAAACGAGUAAUAUGAUUACUUCUCUUAAUUUCUGUUAAUAGCCCAAAAAGUCAUUAUGACCCAUGAAGACUUUUCCUAUUUGCAUUGAGUGACGUUUUUUUUAUUAUGUUACAACCUUAAAGUCAGGUACUCUUACAAUCAUUCAAAUCAAAACCGUCAAUGAACUGGCUACUAUUCAAUUUAGUACUUUUUUUUAACCUUCUCAUAUUCAGUGGAGUUUUUUUCCCCAACUAAGGAUUAAAACAAACAAUAAUAGGAAGUGUAUACUGCCUUAGAUUUUAUUCUGUUUAAACGCCUUGGACUUCCUUGAUUAAGUGUAAACGCCUUGGACUUCCUUCGAACUCCAUCUGGACAAACUAUAUUUUUGCAUAUACUACUUAAUUAAUGAUUUUGGUAAUAUGUAGAUUGCACAACAAUGCAUUCUUCAAGGGAAGACAUUGCACUUAAGAGGAGUCAAGCAUCUAAGUGUUACAGUUGUCAUUGCAUGGGGGUAAAGGGACAAUUAGUGAUCUUUCGAAGGGCUAAUGACAGAUUAGACAUUUUUUUUAUUCCAAAAGCAGCGAGGUUAUAACUUAUCACUAUAUGUUACUAAAAAUUUGGCUGAAGCGUAACAUAGAAAAAUUGUUAUGAGUAGCACUUCCUCUUGUUGUUGUUGUGUGAGUGGUGUGGAGCAUGGGUAAUGAUCUGAUCUGAUGAGAUACAUAGUUUGCUAUUGACGCGAAUUUGAAGAGGGUAAAGGCUACAACCUGGGCAGAUGAUGGCUUGAAAGAGAGAGAGGGAAAUAUAAUUACUCAGAGAUGCUAUUCAGAUGGAAGGAAACACUGAGUUAUCAGCCAGGGAACUGAAAUUACUGGUGGGCUUUUGGCUAUCAGAAACAGGAAUAGAGGGCAACAUAAUUCAGCAAUAACAGUGGCGUUUAGGGGCAUCAACGAUAGCAAGCCAGAGGUGGGUUUAAAGAGAAUAUAGUUGUAGUUUGGAAUGGCAAAACUGGAAGUGUGAAGUGAUAGGCUAUAUGUGUCUUCUAUUUUGUAGUUUGUAAUGAUGAUAAUUUCUAUUCAUUUUAAUGUCUGUCAUAUUGAUCAUAUGUAGGCAUAACCAAAUACUAUCAUGAAACAACUAUUCAUUUAAUGUCUGUCUUAUUCAUUUGUUUUAAUGUUUUCAAUUUCCCUUUAAC